UUCAAGAUUUCCAAAUGCUGACCUGCCU
Molecule: non-coding RNA, 28 nt
Filed under: Rattus norvegicus (Norway rat)
Lineage: Eukaryota; Metazoa; Chordata; Mammalia; Rodentia; Muridae
Source: RNAcentral